RNAcentral lists this long non-coding RNA (1131 nucleotides) under Phascolarctos cinereus (koala). RNAcentral's name for it is "lncRNA (ENSPCIG00000033580.1)". Lineage: Eukaryota; Metazoa; Chordata; Mammalia; Diprotodontia; Phascolarctidae. The record is from RNAcentral.
CUCGAUUCGAAACUCAGGAGGAAGUGGUGAGAGGGGGACCUGCACUGAACAGAGUUUUUAGGCAUAUUUCAUCCUUAGAGAAUAACUACAUUUCUGUUAGGAAUGGAAGUGAAAACAAAAAUAUAUUGAUAAUUUAGGGCAGAGAUGUCAAACUGCAAACCUUCCAAGCAUUGCCUGAGCCAGAUUUGAAUGUAACUGGGAAAUGUUUGACAAAACAUUUUGAUAAUUUAGGUAGUAUUAAUUUAUGGUUUUCCAAGUCAACAUAUGGCCUGCAAAGAUCCAUUUCUAUCUGAGUCUGACACCAUUGAUUUAGGUGAUAUCCACAUCAUGGGUACUACCAAGAUUUUCCUGCUCCUUCUCUCAGUGGCCCUGUUGGCCCUGAGCUCAGCUCAAGGAACACCCAAGGAAGCCCCAAGACAGCAACCUGCUGAACCUGAACCAGCCCCAAGGCAACAAACUAGGAAAAGUAAAGGAGAACCAGGCGAACCACCUGAAGGAGAACCAGGUCCACCACCUGAAGGAGAACCAGGUCCACCACCUGAAGGAGAACCAGGCGAACCACCUGAAGGAGAACCAGGUCCACCACCUGAAGGUAAGUAAUAUGUCGAUCUCUAAACACUCCUUUCUUUCCCCGUUCCUUGAGGACCCUAGACCUUGUCUCUCAUUUGAAACCAUUUGGCACAUCCACGCUUAAAGUUCAGUACCAAGAAAGAGAGGGUAAUAAUGAACUAAGAGGGUGGUCAGCUUAAAAGGCUUUGUUUUCUCUUGCCAUUGCAUAGCUCUCAUAUUUCCACCAGAGAAUUUCCCAGAUCAAAAAUCCAAAAUGAUUUUGUCAUCUUUUCCCAAAGCAUAGUUUGCUUUUUUCCAUUGCCUAAUAUCCUAGAUCAAACAUUUCAAGAUCACAUUGUAAUAUGUAAUGCAAUGUUCUCUUCAUGUCUCUGCAGUGUGGGUAUUUCUCUCUCUCUUUCUCUGUGUUUUCACAGUCCCUCUGUGUCUGGUCUUUCUCUGAAUCGAUAUCUUUAUCUCUCUGUCUCUGUCUCGUUUUUUCUCUGCCUUUCUCUCCCUCUGUCUCUCUCUUUUCACACACACACACACACACACACACACACACACCAUACACACACACACAUU